CAGGCGGUAUUCUGAACGAAGCUGCACUGUCGCAAUUAAACCAAAGCUUUUUGUCAAGGAAUGAAUGACGCAUUCUGCUCUGAGCCGUAGGGACCGAGACAGAAGG
Paenibacillus sp. is the source of this 106-nucleotide regulatory RNA element. It matches the Rfam family "pan motif". The record is from Rfam. NCBI's taxonomy places the organism in Bacteria, Bacillati, Bacillota, Bacilli, Caryophanales, Paenibacillaceae.